GCCUUCAUAGCUCAGUGGCUAGAGAGCUGGUCUAGUAAACCAGAGGCCGGGAGUUCGAUCCUCCCUGAAGGCA
This 73-nucleotide transfer RNA is filed under the name Penaeus monodon (black tiger shrimp). Its description in RNAcentral is "tRNA-Thr". It matches the Rfam family "tRNA". From Rfam's summary of the family: Transfer RNA (tRNA) molecules are approximately 80 nucleotides in length. Their secondary structure includes four short double-helical elements and three loops (D, anti-codon, and T loops). The record is from RNAcentral. Lineage: Eukaryota; Metazoa; Arthropoda; Malacostraca; Decapoda; Penaeidae.